This 371-nucleotide ribosomal RNA is filed under the name uncultured organism. RNAcentral describes it as "bacterial SSU rRNA". It matches the Rfam family "Bacterial small subunit ribosomal RNA", at positions 526 to 896 of the family's 1533-position model. The record is from RNAcentral.
CAGAGGUGGCAAGCGUUGUUCGGAAUUACUGGGCGUAAAGGGCGAGUAGGCGCCUUCUAAGUCAGACGUGAAAUCCCCCGGCUUAACCUGGGAACUGCGUCUGAUACUGGGAGGCUUGAGUAUGGGAGAGGGAUGUAGAAUUCCAGGUGUAGCGGUGAAAUGCGUAGAUAUCUGGAGGAAUACCGGUGGCGAAGGCGGCAUCCUGGACCAUUACUGACGCUGAAUCGCGAAAGCUAGGGGAGCAAACGGGAUUAGAUACCCCGGUAGUCCUAGCCCUAAACGAUGAAUACUUGGUGUGGCGGGUAUCGAUCCCUGCCGUGCCGAAGCUAACGCAUUAAGUAUUCCGCCUGGGGAGUACGGUCGCAAGGCUG